CUGGCCCAAGUGACAACCCUAGAGUCACCCUAGAGAAGAGUGAAAAUAUUAGGAAGAGGCAAACUGCAAGUACAUAAAAGGGCUUCUCUGAUGCCACCAGCCAGUGCAAGUAUUUAUCUCGAUGUUUCAUCAAGCAUGGAUUGAAUCACUAUAACUAUAGUCAGAAGUCUAACUGGAAAAAUAUUAAUUCACAUAUUUAUUAAACCAAUGUUAGUUAAGUGUCCUUGAAUAACGGCAUGGAACAGGUAUGUGCUAUAUAAAUAGUUUCUAAGAAU
RNAcentral lists this long non-coding RNA (275 nucleotides) under Bos taurus (domestic cattle). RNAcentral describes it as "long non-coding RNA NONBTAT018134". Lineage: Eukaryota; Metazoa; Chordata; Mammalia; Artiodactyla; Bovidae. The record is from RNAcentral.